Molecule: long non-coding RNA, 716 nt
Organism: Myodes glareolus (Bank vole)
Lineage: Eukaryota; Metazoa; Chordata; Mammalia; Rodentia; Cricetidae
Source: RefSeq, a predicted model, not a curated record
ACUGACUAAUCCACAGGUUAAUGAUUUACCUGUUAUUUGACUGCUCUCAUUUGACUCUUGUGAAGAAAGUUUCCAUGAAAACCCUUGUGUCCGGGUUGCUUGGAAUGCAAGAAACUUCUGUCUUAUUCUUCCUGCUUACACCCAUUGAGAGAGUUAGAGGUUAUCAAGUGGGUAAAUUCAAACUCUCACUUAAGAAGACAUCUAUUAGAAUGCAGCAGGAGGGAGACCUGGCCCCUUGAUCAUGAGAGUGGAAGAACUGGCCAUGCCCCUCAAGGUCUGUAACACUCGCGAGUGCAGACCCUACACUUUGCCCGGUUGGCAUUUUAAUGAUGGCCCUGGUGAAGUAGGUGUGGGUGAGUCGGCUCUGAACUCAUGAAAGCAGGAGGACCUGUGCUGCUCUUUGCUACAUCGCCUGAAUUAGCCAUGGCAUUGAUGGAAAAUUCAACCUGGUGGGGAGGAUCAGGUAGAACUGAUGGGCUGAACAAUGCUGCUACCACCUAGGUACAGUAACAGGAUUUUAAGUUUUCUCACCAUGAACAUCCACCCCAUCUAGGAUCUGCUAGGGCAAGUGAAGGGGCCAGUCCUGCAGAUCCAAAGCUACAGGAUCUCCAUGAAACAGGACCAUAGCAAGAUAUUCAAGUCCCAGUGAUGGUCUAGCAUCAGCAUCUAUAGUAGAGAAGAAAUCAGAGGCCUUAAACAAGACCAUUGCUGCUUUC